GCAUAUCAAUAAGCGGAGGAAAAGAAACCAACAGGGAUUGCCCUAGUAACGGCGAGUGAAGCGGCAACAGCUCAAAUUUGAAAUCUGGCCCCCGGGUCCGAGUUGUAAUUUGUAGAGGAUGCUUUUGGUGCGGUACCUUCCGAGUUCCCUGGAACGGGACGCCAUAGAGGGUGAGAGCCCCGUCUGGUUGGACGCCAAUCCUUUGUAAAGCUCCUUCGACGAGUCGAGUAGUUUGGGAAUGCUGCUCUAAAUGGGAGGUAUAUGUCUUCUAAAGCUAAAUAUUGGCCAGAGACCGAUAGCGCACAAGUAGAGUGAUCGAAAGAUGAAAAGCACUUUGAAAAGAGAGUUAAAAAGUACGUGAAAUUGUUGAAAGGGAAGCGCUCAUGACCAGACUUGGGCCCGGUUGAUCAUCCAGGGUUCUCCCUGGUGCACUCUUCCGGCCCAGGCCAGCAUCAGUUCGCUGUGGGGGAUAAAGGCUUCGGGAAUGUGGCUCCUCCGGGAGUGUUAUAGCCCGCUGCGUAAUACCCUGUGGCGGACUGAGGUUCGCGCAUCUGCAAGGAUGCUGGCGUAAUGGUCAUCAGCGACCCGUCUUGAAACACGGACCAAGGAGUCGUCUUCGUAUGCGAGUGUUCGGGUGUUAAACCCCUACGCGGAAUGAAAGUGAACGCAGGUGAGAGCUUCGGCGCAUCAUCGACCGAUCCUGAUGUUCUCGGAUGGAUUUGAGUAAGAGCAUACGGGGCCGGACCCGAAAGAAGGUGAACUAUGCCUGUAUAGGGUGAAGCCAGAGGAAACUCUGGUGGAGGCUCGCAGCGGUUCUGACGUGCAAAUCGAUCGUCAAAUAUGGGGCAUGGGGGCGAAAGACUAAUCGAACCUUCUAGUAGCUGGUUUCCGCCGAG
Molecule: ribosomal RNA, 896 nt
Filed under: Corinectria fuckeliana
Lineage: Eukaryota; Fungi; Ascomycota; Sordariomycetes; Hypocreales; Nectriaceae
Description: LSU rRNA
Rfam family: Eukaryotic large subunit ribosomal RNA
Source: RNAcentral